UUCAGCAGAAGACACAAGAAGGGUUUGGUGCAACUGAGAUCAGGCAGAGACGGGGAAGUUUGCAAAAGGAUCCUCCAAACUUGAAUAAACACAAAGGAGAUUCAGAGGAGAAGAAAGAAUCUGUAGAGGCUGCCAAACAUUCAGAAGACGCAUCAAAAAUCACCAUGGACUUCAAACAGUUUGUACUGAUACUGAUGGGUGCAUUCGGAGCACUUCUGGGAUCAGUCGCUGGAGCUGAAAGUGGAGUUAGGGGGUCUUUUAUCGGAGUAGUCGUUGGCAUCUUUGUAGGGGUUUUAGUCGCUAUUUUCAUCAUGUACAUUUAUACUCACAUUUAUUCAAAGCAGACUACACAAAGUAGGCCUACAUCAUAAGCAACUGAAUCAUAAGGAUCUGCAAAGUUGAUCAGGUGCAAGCUAGUUCAGACACACAGUACAAGUGCAAGCAGAAUAGUUUUUCCCCCCUUUUUUUAAUAAUUAUUUUUAAGUAUACAAGACAUUUACUAACGAAACACUGCAGUCUGAGAUGUUUGAAAAAUAGGGUGAAUACUUAAUAUGUUCUUGCAGAACUAAAUAUCAGUAUAAAUCCUAAACUAGUUAGCCUAUGCCUUUUUAAUUCUGGCGUAAAUUUAGGGUCAUACCACAUUUUGGCAGCUUUAUAUGCCUUAUUGUUUUUAAAGAUGUUCAUCCGAAGAAGCUAAAACGCAGAUGUGUGCAAUAUUUUGUUGUCUGUUGUGUUUAUGGAUUUGCCUGAUCUAUUGUGUGAAGGAGGAAAAGAGGAGUAGCCUACAGAAUCCCGUUUUAAAACACAGGAACCAGUGUUU
Long non-coding RNA from Sinocyclocheilus anshuiensis, 820 nucleotides. RefSeq lists it as uncharacterized. Lineage: Eukaryota; Metazoa; Chordata; Actinopteri; Cypriniformes; Cyprinidae. The transcript has 2 exons. The record is from RefSeq and is a predicted model, not a curated record.